AUAAAAAUCAGGAUAUUUUUGUUUCUUACAUUUUUCAUUCCACGUAGCGGAGGAAUUGCAGGCUUAUCUUUCUAACUAGAAAAUGCAUUCUGCGCAGAAGCUGGAGUGUAGAUUUAUCACAGAAACAUUCCAGUGGGAAAAGACCCUCGGAAUCAUCAAGUGCAACUGCUAUCCCUAAUCUGUCAUCAGUAAAGAUGUUAAACAGAAGUCCCAACACUGAGCCCUGAGGAACACUGCUUGUGCCUGGCAUCUAUCUGGAUUUAACACCACUGACCACUACCUAUUGGGCCUUUUUGCCCAGCGGUGCUUUAUUCAGCAGAGCUGUGUCCAUCCAAGCCAUCAGCAGCCAGUUUGGUCUUGAGAAUUCUGUGGAUAACAGUGUCAAAAGUUUUUCCAAAGUCUAGGUAGACAGUAUCCACAGCCUCAACCAUUAGUCACCUGGUAAUAAAAGGAGAUCGGGUUGGUCAGACAGGACCUGCCCUUCAUGAACCCCUGCUGGCUGGGCCUGCUCCCCUGGUUGUUCCCUCUGUGGUGUCUAAUGGUGCUUGAGGU
Long non-coding RNA from Pogoniulus pusillus (Red-fronted tinkerbird), 552 nucleotides. RefSeq lists it as uncharacterized. Lineage: Eukaryota; Metazoa; Chordata; Aves; Piciformes; Lybiidae. The record is from RefSeq and is a predicted model, not a curated record. The transcript is spliced from 2 exons.